CAUGUCCUUUUGUUAAAUAUUUAAGGUCUGAUCUGCCCAAUGAAUUUGUUAAAUGGCCGCGAUAUUUUGAUCGUGCGAAGGUAGCAUAAUCAUUAGUUUUUUAAUUGAAAGCUGGAAUGAAGGAUUGGACAAAGAACUUUCUGUCUCUAUUUUAUUUAUUGAAGUUUAUUUUUGAGUUAAAAAGCUUAAAUUCUAAUGAAAGACGAGAAGACCCUAUAGAGUUUAAUAUUUUUAUAUUUUAAGGUGAAUUUUAGUAUAAAAUUCUUAAAUUUAAUAAAGUAUUUAAUUGGGGUGAUGGAAAAAUUUAAUAAACUUUUUCUUUAUAAAAUAUUAAUUUGUAGAUAUUUGACUUAUUUUUUUAGUUAUAAGAUUAAAUUACCUUAGGGAUAACAGCGUAAUUUUUCUUGAGANGUUCUAAUCGAAAGAAUAGUUUGCGACCUCGAUGUUGGAUUAAAGUUAAAAUUUGGUGUAAAGCUAAAUGAUUUAUCUGUUCACUAUUAAAACUUUACAUGAUCUGAGU
RNAcentral lists this ribosomal RNA (520 nucleotides) under Agrilus sinuatus (hawthorn jewel beetle). Its description in RNAcentral is "partial 16S ribosomal RNA". The stretch from base 386 to 520 matches the Rfam family "Bacterial large subunit ribosomal RNA", at positions 2473 to 2610 of the family's 2925-position model. The record is from RNAcentral. Lineage: Eukaryota; Metazoa; Arthropoda; Insecta; Coleoptera; Buprestidae.